RNAcentral lists this ribosomal RNA (258 nucleotides) under uncultured archaeon. RNAcentral's name for it is "partial 16S ribosomal RNA". It matches the Rfam family "Archaeal small subunit ribosomal RNA", at positions 725 to 982 of the family's 1478-position model. The record is from RNAcentral.
UACAUUAGAUACCCGUGUAGUCCUAGCCGUAAACGAUACUCGCUAGGUGUCGGCCACGGUGCGACCGUUGUCGGUGCCGUAGGGAAGCCGUGAAGCGAGCCACCUGGGAAGUACGGCCGCAAGGCUGAAACUUAAAGGAAUUGGCGGGGGAGCACCACAACGGGUGGAGCUUGCGGUUUAAUUGGAUUCAACGCCGGAAAUCUUACCGGGACCGACAGCAACAUGAAGGCCAGGCUGAAGACUUUGCCGGAUUAGCUG